RNAcentral lists this ribosomal RNA (319 nucleotides) under uncultured Pseudomonadota bacterium. RNAcentral describes it as "bacterial SSU rRNA". It matches the Rfam family "Bacterial small subunit ribosomal RNA", at positions 29 to 351 of the family's 1533-position model. Lineage: Bacteria; Pseudomonadati; Pseudomonadota. The record is from RNAcentral.
AUUGAACGCUGGCGGCAUGCCUUACACAUGCAAGUCGAACGGUAACGCGGGGCAACCUGGCGACGAGUGGCGAACGGGUGAGUAACACAUCGGAACGUGCCCAGUAGUGGGGGAUAGCCCGGCGAAAGCCGGAUUAAUACCGCAUACGACCUACGGGUGAAAGGGGGGAGUCGCAAGACCUCUCGCUAUUGGAGCGGCCGAUGUCAGAUUAGGUAGUUGGUGAGGUAAAGGCUCACCAAGCCGACGAUCUGUAGCUGGUCUGAGAGGACGACCAGCCACACUGGGACUGAGACACGGCCCAGACUCCUACGGGAGGCAG